Sapajus apella (tufted capuchin) is the source of this 124-nucleotide long non-coding RNA. RefSeq lists it as uncharacterized. Lineage: Eukaryota; Metazoa; Chordata; Mammalia; Primates; Cebidae. The transcript has 3 exons. The record is from RefSeq and is a predicted model, not a curated record.
CUGUCACCCAGGCUGGAGUGCAGUGGUGCAAUCUUGGCUUAUUGCAAUGUCUCCUUCCUGGGUUCAAGCAAUUCUCAUGUCUCAGCCUCCCAGGUAGCUGGGAUUACAGGCACACAUCACCAUG